RNAcentral lists this ribosomal RNA (468 nucleotides) under uncultured bacterium. RNAcentral's name for it is "partial 16S ribosomal RNA". It matches the Rfam family "Bacterial small subunit ribosomal RNA", at positions 28 to 507 of the family's 1533-position model. The record is from RNAcentral.
GACGAACGCUGGCGGCGUGCUUAACACAUGCAAGUCGAACGGAAAGGCCCUGCUUUUGUGGGGUGCUCGAGUGGCGAACGGGUGAGUAACACGUGAGUAACCUGCCCUUGACUUUGGGAUAACUUCAGGAAACUGGGGCUAAUACCGGAUAGGAGCUCCUGCUGCAUGGUGGGGGUUGGAAAGUUUCGGCGGUUGGGGAUGGACUCGCGGGUUAUCAGCUUGUUGGUGGGGUAGUGGCUUACCAAGGCUUUGACGGGUAGACGGCCUGAGAGGGUGACCGGCCACAUUGGGACUGCGAUACGGCCCAGACUCCUACGGGAGGCAGCAGUGGGGAAUAUUGCACAAUGGGCGGAAGCCUGAUGCAGCAACGCCGCGUGCGGGAUGACGGCCUUCGGGUUGUAAACCGCUUUCGCCUGUGACGAAGCGUGAGUGACGGUAAUGGGUAAAGAAGCACCGGCUAACUACGUG